AUGGAGGCGGGCGGCGGGGGAGGAGGGUUCAGGGACGAGCGGGUGCCGCAGUGGGGCGUGCAGGAGACGCGGGAGCUCAUCGCGGCGCGCGGGGAGCUGGAGCGGGAGGCCGCCGCCGGCCGCAGCGCCAAGACGCUCUGGGAGGCAGUGGCCGACGCGCUCCGGGCGCGCGGGUACCGCCGCACCGCCGACCAGUGCAAGUGCAAGUGGAAGAACCUCGUCAACAGAUACAAGGGGAAAGAAACAUCUGAUCCAGAAAAUGGUAGACAGUGUCCCUUCUUUGAAGAAUUACAUGCAGUCUUCACUGAACGUGCUAGAAAUAUGCAACGUCAACUCCUUCAGUCUGAAUCGGGAACUUCAGUUAAAAAGAAAUUAAAGCGACCUAGCGGUGACCGGUCAUCUGGGGAGUCUGAUGACAAUGAAUAUGGCGUUGAAGUCAGCGAUGAUGAGAAACCCAUGAUAAGCAAAAAGCGGAAGGCCAGUGAUAAGGGGCAACCAUCGCAACGAAUGGCGGAAAACUCAAGGACCGGCAGUUCAAGCAUCCAUGAUCUGUUACAGGAAUUCCUAGUGCAGCAACAGCAUGUCGAUAUGCUGUGGCAUGAGACGAUGGAGCGGCGCGCCCAGGAGCGGCUCAUUUUCGAACAAGAAUGGAGGCAGUCGAUGCAGAAGCUUGAGCAGGAGAGGCUGAUGCUGGAGCAGUCAUGGAUAGAGCGUGAGGAACAGCGAAGGAUGAGAGAAGAAGCAAGAGCUCAGAAAAGGGAUUCGCUCAUGACCACCCUGCUGAACAAACUCUUACAAGAAGAUCUAUAG
RNAcentral lists this ribosomal RNA (810 nucleotides) under Triticum aestivum (bread wheat). RNAcentral describes it as "partial small subunit ribosomal RNA". The record is from RNAcentral. Lineage: Eukaryota; Viridiplantae; Streptophyta; Magnoliopsida; Poales; Poaceae.